Physeter macrocephalus (sperm whale) is the source of this 912-nucleotide long non-coding RNA. RefSeq lists it as uncharacterized. The transcript is spliced from 7 exons. The record is from RefSeq and is a predicted model, not a curated record. NCBI's taxonomy places the organism in Eukaryota, Metazoa, Chordata, Mammalia, Artiodactyla, Physeteridae.
CCGCGCCGCGCGGCCUUGGAGAGGGGUGGAGACCCGAGCGACUCCCGGGCCCGAAAGUUGGGUUAGGAAGAACUCAAAGGAAAUACAGAAAAUGUGACAAUGAGGAAAGCGUCUGGAUUCCAGAUCUUUGUCAGCAGCAGGGUUCCUGAGUUAGAAGUCAUACUGACUGGUGGCAGCCUCCUUCAGCCAGUGAGCCUUGGAGAAGAGAUGCUUAUCUAGACAGCUGGGAUCAUCUUCGCCAGGAACUGGCCUCAAGGAAAUGGGAACAAAGAGACCCCGGAGUUGAAGACUAACUGUGCUUAAAACAAUCAAGAUGACGCUGACCAGACCACCACAUGACCAGUUUCAAAAUGACUGUCGGAGCUGACUGUGCUGUUCUGCACAUGGCCCCUGCCUGCACACCCCUGAAACUUCCCGGCUUUUCCCUCCACAACCCUUUCCCUCUAACCAACAAGAGGGAGAUGCUUUGGGAGACAACAGUCUGCCAUCAUACCAGAGAAAGAAAAGAGAACAAAUGUCAAGUUUUUGAUGCAUGGCAUAUACUAGAAUAAGAAGGAAGAGCAUUAAAGAGACUGGAGAGCAGUUAGUGUAAAAGGAUCUAAGAAUCUUGAAAAACCCAGCAACUUAUCUUUCUACUCCAGAACAGCAGAUAAAGAAACAACUUGUUGAAAUCCCCUCUGCGUCUAACACAACAAGACUGGCUGAAACCAGUUGCAGCCAAGAUGGCUGACCAUACUUUGGGCAGAAUAAACCUGCUUGUCCGAUUGGUGACCCUUUGAUACUGAGACAGGCUGGGACCUAGGACCCGGGACCCAGGACACUUUGCUGCCGUGCUUGCACCUGGACAAACGUCUCCUCAAGCAAGAAAAUACAAAGAAACUAUAAGGGACUAAAAAUAACUUUGUGCGUGUG